RNAcentral lists this small RNA (29 nucleotides) under Bombyx mori (domestic silkworm). RNAcentral describes it as "ovarian small RNA-32807". The record is from RNAcentral. Lineage: Eukaryota; Metazoa; Arthropoda; Insecta; Lepidoptera; Bombycidae.
UGAUGACUGGCUGCGUUGUAGUUGACGUC